Molecule: transfer RNA, 71 nt
Filed under: Ixodes scapularis (black-legged tick)
Lineage: Eukaryota; Metazoa; Arthropoda; Arachnida; Ixodida; Ixodidae
Rfam family: tRNA
About the family: Transfer RNA (tRNA) molecules are approximately 80 nucleotides in length. Their secondary structure includes four short double-helical elements and three loops (D, anti-codon, and T loops). Further hydrogen bonds mediate the characteristic L-shaped molecular structure. tRNAs have two regions of fundamental functional importance: the anti-codon, which is responsible for specific mRNA codon recognition, and the 3' end, to which the tRNAs corresponding amino acid is attached (by aminoacyl-tRNA synthetases). tRNAs cope with the degeneracy of the genetic code in two manners: having more than one tRNA (with a specific anti-codon) for a particular amino acid; and 'wobble' base-pairing, i.e. permitting non-standard base-pairing at the 3rd anti-codon position.
Source: Rfam by way of RNAcentral
CUCUGGUUAGCUCAGUUGAGAACGCUCCACUGGAAAUGGGGAGGUCCCGGGUUCGAUACCCGGACCGGGCG